This 354-nucleotide ribosomal RNA is filed under the name uncultured Latescibacterota bacterium. Its description in RNAcentral is "bacterial SSU rRNA". It matches the Rfam family "Bacterial small subunit ribosomal RNA", at positions 1031 to 1382 of the family's 1533-position model. The record is from RNAcentral. Lineage: Bacteria; Pseudomonadati; Candidatus Latescibacterota.
UGCACAGGUGCUGCAUGGCUGUCGUCAGCUCGUGUCGUGAGAUGUUGGGUUAAGUCCCGCAACGAGCGCAACCCUUAUCCCCUAGUUGCCAUCAGGUAAAGCUGGGAACUCUGGGGGAGACUGCCGGUGAUAAACCGGAGGAAGGCGGGGAUGACGUCAAGUCCUCAUGGCCCUUACAUCCCGGGCUACACACGUGCUACAAUGGCAGGUACAGAGGGCUGCGAAGCCGCGAGGUGGAGCGAAUCCCAGAAAACCUGUCUCAGUCCGGAUUGAAGUCUGCAACUCGACUUCAUGAAGGCGGAAUCGCUAGUAACCGCGAAUCAGCAGGUCGCGGUGAAUACGUUCCCGGGCCUU